RNAcentral lists this ribosomal RNA (1217 nucleotides) under metagenome. RNAcentral describes it as "bacterial SSU rRNA". It matches the Rfam family "Bacterial small subunit ribosomal RNA", at positions 298 to 1498 of the family's 1533-position model. The record is from RNAcentral.
GGAUGGUCAGCCACACUGGGACUGAGACACUGCCCAGACUCCUACGGGAGGCUGCAGUCGAGGAUCAUUCGCAAUGCGCGAAAGCGUGACGAUGCGACGCUGCGUGGAGGAUGACGGCCCUAGGGUUGUAAACUCCUGUCAUGCGGGAAAAACCACCCCGUACUUAAUACGUGCGGGGCCUGAUGGUACCGCAAGAGGAAGCCACGGCUAACUCUGUGCCAGCAGCCGCGGUAAUACAGAGGUGGCGAGCGUUGUUCGGAUUUACUGGGCGUAAAGGGUGCGUAGGCGGUCUCGUGUGUCGGAUGUGAAAUCCCAUAGCUCAACUGUGGACGUGCGUCCGAAACUGCGGGACUAGAGUGCAGGAUGGGAGAGCGGAAUUCUUGGUGUAGCGGUGAAAAUGUUGAUAUCAAGAAGAACACCGGUGGCGAAGGCGGCUCUCUGGAAUGUUACUGACGCUGAGGCACGAAAGCUGGGGGAGCAAACGGGAUUAGAUACCCUGGUAGUCCCAGCCGUAAACGGUGCGCACUUGGUGUUGGCGGUAUUGACCCCGCCAGUGCCGGAGCUAACGCGUUAAGUGCGCCGCCUGGGGAGUACGGCCGCAAGGUUAAAACUCAAAGAAAUUGACGGGGGCCCGCACAAGCGGAGGAGCAUGUGGCUUAAUUCGAUGCAACGCGAAGAACCUUACCUGGGCUUGACAUGUAGCUGCACGUCCCGUGAAAGCGGGAAAGCCUUCGAGGGUGCUACACAGGUGCUGCAUGGCUGUCGUCAGUUCGUGCCGUGAGGUGUUGGGUUAAGUCCCGCAACGAACGCAACCCUUGUGUUUAGUUGCCACCGGCGGUGAUGAGCCGCUGAGCACUCUAAACAGACUGCCCGUACAAGCGGGAGGAGGGUGGGGACGACGUCAAGUCAGUAUGGCCCUUACGCCCAGGGCUGCACACGUGCUACAAUGGUCGGUACAGAGGGCUGCAAAGCCGCGAGGUGGAGCUAAUCCCCAAAACCGGCCUCAGUCCGGAUUGGAGUCUGCAACUCGACUCCAUGAAGUUGGAUUCGCUAGUAACGGCGCAUCAGCUACGGCGCCGUGAAUACGUUCCCGGGCCUUGUACACACCACCCGUCACAUCAUGAAAGCCGUCUGCACCCGAAGUCGCUGAGCCAACCCGCAAGGGGGGCAGGUGCCGAAGGUGUGGGUGGUGAUUGGGAUGAAGUCGGAACAAGGUA